RNAcentral lists this transfer RNA (66 nucleotides) under Tridacna maxima. RNAcentral's name for it is "tRNA-Lys". It matches the Rfam family "tRNA". From Rfam's summary of the family: Transfer RNA (tRNA) molecules are approximately 80 nucleotides in length. Their secondary structure includes four short double-helical elements and three loops (D, anti-codon, and T loops). The record is from RNAcentral. Lineage: Eukaryota; Metazoa; Mollusca; Bivalvia; Cardiida; Cardiidae.
GGUGCGGUAGCUUAUAGGUUAAAGCAUGGGGCUUUUAACCCCAAGAAGUUUAAAUAACCCGCCCCU